UUUGCUGACGAGUGGCGGACGGGUGAGUAAUGUCUGGGAAACUGCCUGAUGGAGGGGGAUAACUACUGGAAACGGUAGCUAAUACCGCAUAACGUCGCAAGACCAAAGAGGGGGACCUUCGGGCCUCUUGCCAUCGGAUGUGCCCAGAUGGGAUUAGCUAGUAGGUGGGGUAACGGCUCACCUAGGCGACGAUCCCUAGCUGGUCUGAGAGGAUGACCAGCCACACUGGAACUGAGACACGGUCCAGACUCCUACGGGAGGCAGCAGUGGGGAAUAUUGCACAAUGGGCGCAAGCCUGAUGCAGCCAUGCCGCGUGUAUGAAGAAGGCCUUCGGGUUGUAAAGUACUUUCAGCGGGGAGGAAGGGAGUAAAGUUAAUACCUUUGCUCAUUGACGUUACCCGCAGAAGAAGCACCGGCUAACUCCGUGCCAGCAGCCGCGGUAAUACGGAGGGUGCAAGCGUUAAUCGGAAUUACUGGGCGUAAAGCG
RNAcentral lists this ribosomal RNA (487 nucleotides) under uncultured Escherichia sp. Its description in RNAcentral is "bacterial SSU rRNA". It matches the Rfam family "Bacterial small subunit ribosomal RNA", at positions 84 to 567 of the family's 1533-position model. Lineage: Bacteria; Pseudomonadati; Pseudomonadota; Gammaproteobacteria; Enterobacterales; Enterobacteriaceae. The record is from RNAcentral.